AUUGAACGCUGGCGGAAUGCUUUACACAUGCAAGUCGAACGGCAGCACGGACUUCGGUCUGGUGGCGAGUGGCGAACGGGUGAGUAAUAUAUCGGAACGUGCCCAGUCGUGGGGGAUAACGUAGCGAACGCUACGCUAAUACCGCAUACGAUCUACGGAUGAAAGCGGGGGAUCGCAAGACCUCGCGCGAUUGGAACGGCCGAUAUCAGAUUAGGAAGUUGGCGAGGUAAAGGCCCACCAAGCCGACGAUCUGUAGCUGGUCUGAGAGGACGACCAGCCACACUGGGACUGAGACACGGCCCAGACUCCUACGGGAGGCAGCAGUGGGAAUUUUGGACAAUGGACGCAAGUCUGAUCCAGCCAUUCCGCGUGCAGGACGAAGGCCUUCGGGUUGUAAACUGCUUUUGUACAGAACGAAAAGGUCUCUAUUAAUACUAGGGGCUCAUGACGGUACUGUAAGAAUAAGCACCGGCUAACUACGUGCCAGCCGCCGCAGUAA
Molecule: ribosomal RNA, 499 nt
Filed under: uncultured bacterium
Lineage: Bacteria
Description: partial 16S ribosomal RNA
Rfam family: Bacterial small subunit ribosomal RNA
Source: RNAcentral